This is a long non-coding RNA of Papaver somniferum (opium poppy), 411 nucleotides long. RefSeq lists it as uncharacterized. The record is from RefSeq and is a predicted model, not a curated record. The transcript is spliced from 3 exons. Lineage: Eukaryota; Viridiplantae; Streptophyta; Magnoliopsida; Ranunculales; Papaveraceae.
UUGAGAGUAGUGUUUUCAAUGGAGCGAUAAAAAACUUGAAAACGAAGAAGAGACUCCAAUGAUCAAAUAGGAAGAGAUAUUGAAUCAACCAUGUGAUGCUUGUGGGAACAUUGGCUGGUCAUAUGUUCUUAUCACUUUUUUCAUUUGCGAGGUACCUGCAAGACUGCUUUACAUCCACACUGUGCAAAGGAAGCAAGAGUCCCCUAGUUGGGAAAAAGAUUGGUGUAUGUCCUAAUGAGCAGCAACACCAACUUCCUCCUUUUUCUUCUUUUUUUCAGUGUUAGAGUGUAAGAAAAUAAGGAUCGAGUCUCUUGUAUGGCCAUCUAAAAAUUGGCCCGAACAGUCUCUUGUAUGGCCCAUCUAAAAAUUGGCCCGAACAGAUAAGUAAUUAAUGAAUAAAAGAUUUUGACA